GCGUGUUCGGAAUUACUGGGCGUAAAGCGUACGUAGGCGGAUUAAUAAGUUAGAGGUGAAAUCCCAGGGCUCAACCCUGGAACUGCCUUUAAAACUGUUAGUCUUGAGAUCGAGAGAGGUGAGUGGAAUUCCAAGUGUAGAGGUGAAAUUCGUAGAUAUUUGGAGGAACACCAGUGGCGAAGGCGGCUCACUGGCUCGAUACUGACGCUGAGGUACGAAAGUGUGGGGAGCAAACAGGAUUAGAUACCCUGGUAGUCCACACCGUAAACGAUGAAUGCCAGACGUCAGCAAGCAUGCUUGUUGGUGUCACACCUAACGGAUUAAGCAUUCCGCCUGGGGAGUACGGUCGCAAGAUUAAAACUCAAAGGAAUUGACGGGGGCCCGCACAAGCGGUGGAGCAUGUGGUUUAAUUCGACGCAACGCGCAGAACCUUACCAACCCUUGACAUACUUGUCGCGGAUUCCAGAGAUGGAUUCCUUCAGUUCGGCUGGACAAUGUACAGGUGCUGCAUGGCUGUCGUCAGCUCGUGUCGUGAGAUGUUCGGUUAAGUCCGGCAACGAGCGCAACCCACGUCCUUAGUUACCAGCAUUUAGUUGGGUACCCUAAGGAGACUGCCGGUGAUAAGCCGGAGGAAGGUGUGGACGACGUCAAGUCAUCAUGGCCUUACGGGUUGGGCUACACACGUGCUACAAUGGCAUCUACAGUGAGCUAAUCUCCAAAAGAUGUCUCAGUUCGGAUUGGGGUCUGCAACUCGACCCCAUGAAGUUGGAAUCGCUAGUAAUCGCGGAACAGCAUGCCGCGGUGAAUACGUUCCCGGGCCUUGUACACACCGCCCGUCACACCAUGGGAAUUGGGUCUACCCGAAGGUGGUGCGCCAACUAUUUAUAGAGGCAGCCAACCACGGUAGGUUCAGUGACUGGGGUGUAGUCGUAACAAGGUUCCCG
This 944-nucleotide ribosomal RNA is filed under the name uncultured Alphaproteobacteria bacterium. RNAcentral describes it as "bacterial SSU rRNA". It matches the Rfam family "Bacterial small subunit ribosomal RNA", at positions 538 to 1502 of the family's 1533-position model. The record is from RNAcentral. Lineage: Bacteria; Pseudomonadati; Pseudomonadota; Alphaproteobacteria.